UACGGAGGGUGCAAGCGUUAUCCGGAUUUAUUGGGUUUAAAGGGUCCGUAGGCGGAUCCGUAAGUCAGUGGUGAAAUCUCAUAGCUCAACUAUGAAACUGCCAUUGAUACUGCGGGUCUUGAGUGAGAUUGAGGUAGCUGGAAUAAGUAGUGUAGCGGUGAAAUGCAUAGAUAUUACUUAGAACACCAAUUGCGAAGGCAGGUUACCAAGUCUUAACUGACGCUGAGGGACGAAAGCGUGGGGAGCGAACAGG
This 253-nucleotide ribosomal RNA is filed under the name uncultured bacterium. RNAcentral's name for it is "partial 16S ribosomal RNA". It matches the Rfam family "Bacterial small subunit ribosomal RNA", at positions 524 to 776 of the family's 1533-position model. The record is from RNAcentral.